This 253-nucleotide ribosomal RNA is filed under the name uncultured bacterium. RNAcentral's name for it is "partial 16S ribosomal RNA". It matches the Rfam family "Bacterial small subunit ribosomal RNA", at positions 524 to 776 of the family's 1533-position model. The record is from RNAcentral.
AACGUAGGUGGCGAGCGUUAUCCGGAUUCAUUGGGCGUAAAGAGCUUGUAGGUGGCGGCGUAAGUUGGACGUGAAAUCGCCCGGCUCAACCGGGGAACUGCGUCUGAUACUGGAUGGCUAGAGGUUGGGAGAGGGAUGCGGAAUUCCAGGUGUAGCGGUGAAAUGCGUAGAUAUCUGGAGGAACACCGGUGGCGAAGGCGGCAUCCUGGACCAAUUCUGACGCUGAGGAGCGAAAGCCAGGGGAGCAAACGGG